RNAcentral lists this ribosomal RNA (477 nucleotides) under uncultured bacterium. RNAcentral describes it as "partial 16S ribosomal RNA". It matches the Rfam family "Bacterial small subunit ribosomal RNA", at positions 28 to 507 of the family's 1533-position model. The record is from RNAcentral.
GAUUAACGCUGGCGGCGUGCAUAACACAUGCAAGUCGAACGAUGAAACUUAGUAGACUUCUUCGGAAAGACACUAAGCGGAUUAGUGGCGAACGGGUGAGUAACGCGUGAGUAACCUGCCUUACACAAGGGGAUAGCCUUUGGAAACGAAGAAUAAUACACUAUAAAACCAUAAAAGCACAUGCUAGAAUGGUCAAAGUGAUAGCGGUGUAAGAUGGACUUGCGUCUGAUUAGCUAGUUGGUGAGAUAAAAGCUCACCAAGGCAACGAUCAGUAGCCGGCUUGAGAGCGUGUACGGCCACAUUGGGACUGAGACACGGCCCAGACUCCUACGGGAGGCAGCAGUGGGGAAUUUUGCACAAUGGGGGAAACCCUGAUGCAGCGACGCCGCGUGAUUUAGAAGGCCUUCGGGUUGUAAAAAUCUUUUGUAUAGGAAGAAAAUGACAGUACUAUACGAAUAAGGUCCGGCUAAUUACGUG